AUGUGGUUAAAUCUUCUGUCCUUACUAGUUGUCCUCAAAGGAAUCCAAUCUGUGGUCCAGUUGGUGGAGUCUGGAGGGGAUGUGAGAAGACCUGGGGAGUCCCUCCGUCUCUCCUGCCAAGCUUCUGGAUUCACCUUCAGCAGCUAUGAGAUGGUCUGGGUGAGACAGGCUCCAGGAAAAGGACUGGAAUGGGUGGCAUACAUAAACAUCGAUUCUGGUACUUCCUACUCAGACGAAGUGAAGGGACGCUUCACCAUCUCCAGGGACAAUGCCAAAAGCCAGCUGUCUCUGCAAAUGAAUAAUCUCAAAGCUGAAGACACAGCAGUCUAUUACUGUGCCAGGGACACAGUGAGAGGAAGUGAAUACCAUUACUUUUACCUUUUUUAUCAUGGCAGAAGACUGGAAAUGAAACUUCAAGAUAUGUAA
This is a non-coding RNA of Thamnophis elegans (Western terrestrial garter snake), 426 nucleotides long. The record is from the annotation of a RefSeq genome assembly. NCBI's taxonomy places the organism in Eukaryota, Metazoa, Chordata, Lepidosauria, Squamata, Natricidae.